GCGAGAGACGCAGAGGCAUGAAAAGAGCAGAGGGGACAUCCAGGUUGUUCAGAGACGGAGAUCCUUGGGGUUUUGACACUUGUCACUUACUUGAUAAAAGCUUUCCAACUUAUUUUUAUGCACAUCGGAUCAUAUUGCGAUACACUCUCUCUAUUAAGACUGGCAAAUUAAAACAGCAAUAGAGUCCUUAAUCAUAAAUUAUUUCCUGGGGUAAAAUCCUAACAAGUUCAACCUCUAAAAAAAGCUCAACAACUUUGGGGUAAUACCAUAAAAAAAGCUCAACAACUUCAAUCCUAAAAAAAGGCCCUCUUUGAAAAAAGUUUGGACACCACCACUGCAAGUUUAAACAAAACAAGAGCCAAGCAGAUCUAUCCUGUUUCCACUUGCGGCUUUAAUUUAAUCCCAUGAUCGACCAAGAUCAAUCCCACGAUCUACUGGUCAAUCGUGAUGGACUGGUUGGACAUGCCUGAAAAUUUUAGACCACAGUGCUACCUACCUGCAUCCCUGGAGAUUGCCUAGGAUAGGCCAUUAAGGAGAACAAAGGGGAAAUGAUGAGCCAUUAGGUAUGCCAGAGAGAGAGGCCCCUCCUUCAGCACAGAGUUAGUUAGAAGGCAAAAGGAAGGAGUUUCAGAGAGUUUAGGCUUGGGUUUUUUCAGAAAUGUUGCAGUCUGUAAAAAUCAUCAAGCUGGAGAGAGGGUCACAGCCACGUUUUGGAGCAUGUUUGAUUUCUGUUUGAACCCUAUGCUGCAAUUAUGGGAAAAGCAAGAAUAUUGUGGGGUGUCAAUGCUGUAAACUCCAUUGUAGUCUUAUAUGUGUGUGUAAAUAAACCAUAUAUCCUAAAGACA
This is a long non-coding RNA of Podarcis raffonei (Aeolian wall lizard), 845 nucleotides long. RefSeq lists it as uncharacterized. The transcript is spliced from 2 exons. The record is from RefSeq and is a predicted model, not a curated record. Lineage: Eukaryota; Metazoa; Chordata; Lepidosauria; Squamata; Lacertidae.